GACGAACGCUGGCGGCGUGCUUAACACAUGCAAGUCGAACGGAAAGGCCCCUUUGGGGGUACUCGAUUGGCGAACGGGUGAGUAACACGUGAGUAACCUGCCCUUGACUUCGGGAUAACUUCAGGAAACUGGGGCUAAUACCGGAUAGGAAUCCUUGCUGCAUGGUGGGGGUUGGAAAGCUUCGGCGGUUUUGGAUGGACUCGCGGCUUAUCAGCUUGUUGGUGGGGUAGUGGCUUACCAAGGCUUUGACGGGUAGCCGGCCUGAGAGGGCGACCGGCCACAUUGGGACUGAGAUACGGCCCAGACUCCUACGGGAGGCAGCAGUGGGGAAUAUUGCACAAUGGGCGGAAGCCUGAUGCAGCAACGCCGCGUGCGGGAUGACGGCCUUCGGGUUGUAAACCGCUUUCAGCAGGGGCGAAGCUUGUGGUGACGGUACCUGCAGAAGAAGCACCGGCUAACUACGUG
This 465-nucleotide ribosomal RNA is filed under the name uncultured bacterium. Its description in RNAcentral is "partial 16S ribosomal RNA". It matches the Rfam family "Bacterial small subunit ribosomal RNA", at positions 28 to 507 of the family's 1533-position model. The record is from RNAcentral.